Molecule: ribosomal RNA, 253 nt
Filed under: uncultured bacterium
Lineage: Bacteria
Description: partial 16S ribosomal RNA
Rfam family: Bacterial small subunit ribosomal RNA
Source: RNAcentral
UACGAAGGGGGCUAGCGUUGUUCGGAUUUACUGGGCGUAAAGCGCACGUAGGCGGAUACUUAAGUCAGGGGUGAAAUCCUGGAGCUCAACUCCAGAACUGCCUUUGAUACUGGGUAUCUCGAGUCCGGAAGAGGUGAGUGGAACUCCUAGUGUAGAGGUGGAAUUCGUAGAUAUUAGGAAGAACACCAGUGGCGAAGGCGGCUUACUGGUCCAUUACUGACGCUGAGGUGCGAAAGCGUGGGGAGCAAACAGG